RNAcentral lists this ribosomal RNA (253 nucleotides) under uncultured bacterium. RNAcentral describes it as "partial 16S ribosomal RNA". It matches the Rfam family "Bacterial small subunit ribosomal RNA", at positions 524 to 776 of the family's 1533-position model. The record is from RNAcentral.
UACGAAGGGGGCUAGCGUUGCUCGGAAUUACUGGGCGUAAAGGGCGCGUAGGCGGACAGUUUAGUCAGAGGUGGAAGCCCAGGGCUCAACCUUGGAAUUGCCUUUGAUACUGAUUGUCUUGAGUACGGGAGAGGUGAGUGGAACUCCGAGUGUAGAGGUGAAAUUCGUAGAUAUUCGGAAGAACACCAGUGGCGAAGGCGACUCACUGGCCCGUUACUGACGCUGAGGCGCGAAAGCGUGGGGAGCAAACAGG